Molecule: ribosomal RNA, 620 nt
Filed under: Aphelenchoides sp. S73
Lineage: Eukaryota; Metazoa; Nematoda; Chromadorea; Rhabditida; Aphelenchoididae
Description: partial large subunit ribosomal RNA
Rfam family: Eukaryotic large subunit ribosomal RNA
Source: RNAcentral
AUAGUGGAAGUGGAUGCCUUUCGACGUAUCAGGAACGUAUUCAGUCCGGCCACGUAGCGAUCGUUUCGACGGCAUUCCGCAAGGUUGUCUAGGGGCGUUGUCGUUGCGGCCGGUCGGAUGCAUUUGCGUGCGGAGUGCGCCGAGUGGGUCGAUGCUGUCGCCGGAUGGGCGCGUAGAGGACUCGGGUCUUCGGGCUCGAGAAUCCUGCGCGUUCCGGAAAGCGAGUGGUGUUGGCUCGUUGGAAGUGCGGGUGAAUUCGCGGUCGGCGUCUGUUGUUGCGGCGGUCGACGGAAGGCACAUGUGUCGGUCGUCGGCUGUUGCGGCGGCCGGAGUCGACUGCCCCUGCGCUCGACUCGGUGUGUAGUCGGUCACCCAUUUGACCCGUCUUGAAACACGGACCAAGGAGUUUAAGGUGUACGCGAGUCAUUGGGUUCGCGCGAAACCCAAAGGCGCAGUGAAAGUGAGACCCUCGGGGUCGGAGAUGUGAGCGGCGAGCGUUUCGACGUUCGUCGUGCAACAUCGCCCCGAGAUUCAGACUUGCCCCGUUGCGGAGGCCGAGCGUACGUUUAGAGACCCGAGAGAUGGUGAUCUAUGCCCGAACAGGAUGAAGCCAGAGGAAU